AUGAAGAACGUAGCGAAAUGCGAUACUUGGUGUGAAUUGCAGAAUCCCGUGAACCAUCGAGUCUUUGAACGCAAGUUGCGCCCGAGGCCAUUAGGCUAAGGGCACGUCUGCCUGGGCGUCACGC
This 124-nucleotide ribosomal RNA is filed under the name Cryptantha flaccida. RNAcentral describes it as "5.8S ribosomal RNA". It matches the Rfam family "5.8S ribosomal RNA", at positions 36 to 154 of the family's 154-position model. From Rfam's summary of the family: 5.8S ribosomal RNA (5.8S rRNA) is a component of the large subunit of the eukaryotic ribosome. It is transcribed by RNA polymerase I as part of the 45S precursor that also contains 18S and 28S rRNA. Lineage: Eukaryota; Viridiplantae; Streptophyta; Magnoliopsida; Boraginales; Boraginaceae. The record is from RNAcentral.